RNAcentral lists this ribosomal RNA (406 nucleotides) under uncultured bacterium. RNAcentral's name for it is "bacterial SSU rRNA". It matches the Rfam family "Bacterial small subunit ribosomal RNA", at positions 355 to 773 of the family's 1533-position model. The record is from RNAcentral.
UGGGGAAUAUUGCACAAUGGGCGCAAGCCUGAUGCAGCGACGCCGCGUGAGGGAUGACGGCCUUCGGGUUGUAAACCUCUUUCAGCUACGACGAAGCGUAAGUGACGGUAGUAGCAGAAGAGGCACCGGCCAACUACGGGCCAGCAGCCGCGGUAAUACGUAGGGUGCGAGCGUUGUCCGGAAUUACUGGGCGUAAAGAGCUCGUAGGUGGUUUGUCGCGUUGUCCGUGAAAACUCACAACUCAAUUGUGGGCGUGCGGGCGAUACGGGCAGACUGGAGUACUGCAGGGGAGACUGGAAUUCCUGGUGUAGCGGUGGAAUGCGCAGAUAUCAGGAGGAACACCGGUGGCGAAGGCGGGUCUCUGGGCAGUAACUGACGCUGAGGAGCGAAAGCGUGGGGAGCGAAC